UGCCCAGCAUCAGCCUGCCUUACAUCC
This 27-nucleotide non-coding RNA is filed under the name Mus musculus (house mouse). The record is from RNAcentral. Lineage: Eukaryota; Metazoa; Chordata; Mammalia; Rodentia; Muridae.